RNAcentral lists this ribosomal RNA (779 nucleotides) under Serratia marcescens. Its description in RNAcentral is "bacterial SSU rRNA". It matches the Rfam family "Bacterial small subunit ribosomal RNA", at positions 573 to 1351 of the family's 1533-position model. Lineage: Bacteria; Pseudomonadati; Pseudomonadota; Gammaproteobacteria; Enterobacterales; Yersiniaceae. The record is from RNAcentral.
AGGCGGUUUGUUAAGUCAGGAUGUGAAAUGCCCCGGGCUCAACCUGGGAACUGCAUUUGAAACUGGCAAGCUAGAGUCUCGUAGAGGGGGGUAGAAUUCCAGGUGUAGCGGUGAAAUGCGUAGAGAUCUGGAGGAAUACCGGUGGCGAAGGCGACCCCCUGGACGAAGACUGACGCUCAGGUGCGAAAGCGUGGGGAGCAAACAGGAUUAGAUACCCUGGUAGUCCACGCUGUAAACGAUGUCGAUUUGGAGGUUGUGCCCUUGAGGCGUGGCUUCCGGAGCUAACGCGUUAAAUCGACCGCCUGGGGAGUACGGCCGCAAGGUUAAAACUCAAAUGAAUUGACGGGGGCCCGCACAAGCGGUGGAGCAUGUGGUUUAAUUCGAUGCAACGCGAAGAACCUUACCUACUCUUGACAUCCAGAGAACUUUCCAGAGAUGGAUUGGUGCCUUCGGGAACUCUGAGACAGGUGCUGCAUGGCUGUCGUCAGCUCGUGUUGUGAAAUGUUGGGUUAAGUCCCGCAACGAGCGCAACCCUUAUCCUUUGUUGCCAGCGGUUCGGCCGGGAACUCAAAGGAGACUGCCAGUGAUAAACUGGAAGAAGGUGGGGAUGACGUCAGUCAUCAUGGCCCUUACGAGUAUGGCUACACACGUGCUACAAUGGCAUAUACAAAGAGAAUCGACCUCGCGAGAGCAAGCGGACCUCAUAAAGUAUGUCGUACUCCGGAUUGGAGUCUGCAACUCGACUCCAUGAAGUCCGAAUCGCUAGUAAUCGUAGAUCA